Molecule: long non-coding RNA, 2536 nt
Organism: Anguilla anguilla (European eel)
Lineage: Eukaryota; Metazoa; Chordata; Actinopteri; Anguilliformes; Anguillidae
Exons: 3
Source: RefSeq, a predicted model, not a curated record
GUUCUCCUGCGGUGCAGUUCGCCCCCUGACUCGUGACAGACGGGGGGGCUAUUCAUCACACUCAAGGACUGGAGGACGCUGGGCCUCUAAAUCCGCUCGACGCUCCCGGAACGCGAGCCAGGCUCCUGCACGGGACCGUGUCCAUCACAACUGAUGCACCAGAGUCACCAGAGUUAGCUUCACGGCUACGUUUCCUCUGCGGUCCCUGGGAUUGAGAGGGAUGACAUUCAGGAGUGACCUUCAUCAUUUUUUUUACAAGCAAAAAGUGGUGUUUUCCAGCACAAAGCCCCUUUUGUAUCGCAGACACUGAAUCUGAGCUGAGAACCCCCGGAGUCUGGAAAUCGUCUCACCUGAAAACUUUGAUGUGGCUCAAUCAGGAGACUUCACAAUAGAGAGCGCAGGUCACGACAAAGUGCAUUUCACAGAGACGCUGUAAGGAGAGGCGCACAAAACCCACCUGUGUGGUUUUUGUGGCUUCUCUAAAGCUGAGGGAGAACAAAGCCUUCAUUCUUUUAAGCAGAGGGAAUGGGUUUUCUGACUGCCUUUCACACAAGUGCAUCUAUAUUACACAAAAAGGUAUUAAAUAACGGAGUGGCACUUCAUAGCAUUAGAGCACUGAUAUAUUCCUCCACGCUGAAAGGUGUGAUGCAGCAGUAACUUUGACCAAACGACCUUUGACCUUUUCUCUAUUUCCCGGUGGCAGUAAAAUGUUCAGCGUUAAAUUACAGUGUAGAUGUGUUCCCUAUUAGACUCACUUGAACUCUUACAGAGUUGAAUUAAGACUGGGAAUUUUACUGUGUAUGUUCAGUGUCUAUCCAGUUCUGAACUGAGAUGCCCUGUGAGCUCCAUUUAGUUGCGAGACUCUACAAGUUGUUGUACUGUGCCUCUUCUUUUUUUUUGUUAUUUCAGCCAGGAAUUUAACGCAGAAUCGAUCUCUUCGUGCGCUCCCCCUCAGAAAGUAGAAAGGUCAGGACCCGAAUGACGUGUUUCGCUUUGCCGUCGAUAACGCCGGCACAUUCCAUUAACGCGGUAAUGCCAUCAAGGUCCGGCUUAAUAACUGCAGAGGCAUGUAAUGGACUGUUAACUACGGCCUUCCAUCCCCAUUGGAAACCCCAUUACGGGGUCUGUGCCGAGUUUCAUUGCUUUUCAGCAGAGACGCCUUGGAAAGGGUGAGUGAAGUGUGUUAUGGAUUUUUUUUGUUUUUUUUUUCAUCUUCCAAUCCUGUUUUUCUGUUUCUGAGAAACUCAUUCUGAGAAUGACAUUGUUAGGGUGCCGUCCCCUCCCAUCGUAGUCUCUGCUCUCUGGUUUCAGUAGCGCUGUGUUAUGACAGUGGGCUCCCGGAGAAACAAGUGCCACUCGCGCUCUCUGAACAUCCGUCCAGCAGGGGGCAGUAUACCGAGGCUCAGGUCUCUGAUUUGAUAAUUGUAUUCUAUAGUACCUGCGCGAAAGAGGGUCACCCUCGUACUCUCAGACUGUGGGCUCAUUCCAGUUGUUUAGUUUUACCUCCUUGCAUCCUUCGCUCGUGUCCUCUCCUCGCUCGUUAGCUCUUAGCUCCCCUCGGAGGACACAAGGAAAGAAAGUGAAGAAUGGAGGAAUCAAGGAAAAAAGUGUAUUAGACAAAUAGAGGGUCUUUGUUCAGUCAAGUGUCAGUUUGAAGACACGUGAAUUGCACGUGUGGCAGAUGGUGAGAGGUGGAUCCACAGGUCGAUCAUUUAUAUGUCACGCGUUUCGAAAACAAAUUCCUUACGCAAAGGGUGCACUCUUGUGUCCUUGCUCAAGCAUCCUUCAGGAGCCUUCUAGCUCCUCACUCCUAGCUCCUUCAAGGAGCGUUUAAUGGGUUGGCACUUUGGCGGACCCCGAUCGAUUUCCGGGUCAGUCGAGGACGGAUAAAAUAAAAUGAUUGGAAAGAGCCCAGUGUGACCCUGCCAGGCCUCGGGCACGCCGUGUCCUGAUUGGCUGUUGAGUCUGCCAGACCAUAAUGGCUGCAGGGCCCUGGAGUAGAUGGCAGUGACACAGCAGUAGAGAGAGAGACCACAUGAACACGUCGAAUGCUUUCGCCUGAUUGGAAAUCAGUCCGCCCCGCAGCUAAAGCUGACAUGUGGAAGAGGCCUGUACUGCAGCCAGAGCAAACUGCCCCCAAGUGAAACAGCUUGCGUCUAUAAUGCAGUUGCGUAGCAGGACAUUUUCCCCACAGUGUACCUAUUUGGGCUUUGAAGACCACAUCCUCAUAGCUGAAAGCGCUGCAGUAUUAGGCUUUUCACUGUAAAUAUCAGGUUUCCUGGCAAGAAAAUACAAUGUAGAUUGGAGAUGGAUCUGUGAGGAUUCUUUUUCCUAUUAUGAACAAGUUUUAGGAAGACAAUAGCUGCUCCCUCUGAAUUAUGGCACAUUGGGUUCUAUUUUGAGGACGCAGACAUAUUUUGGAUCAGCGCAGAGAGGCGUAGCUGUGUUUGUGCCUAGUUUGGUGUUUUCCCUGUUUUAAGUGUUCGUACUGGGUGGGUGGAAAGAGGGCUGGCUUUGUGUGGGGGUGGGAGUACAU